Pipra filicauda (Wire-tailed manakin) is the source of this 971-nucleotide long non-coding RNA. RefSeq lists it as uncharacterized. The transcript has 3 exons. The record is from RefSeq and is a predicted model, not a curated record. Lineage: Eukaryota; Metazoa; Chordata; Aves; Passeriformes; Pipridae.
GUGCAAGGGGAAGCAUCUUCCACCAGGCCCUGAGGGAGGGCACCUUCCACCACACGGACGCUGCUCCAGGCCUCGCUUCAGUCCCUGCACGAGCGCUGCUGAGAAGCAGGUCAGCACAGAAGAGUUGGAAUGGAAAAGGCAUGAAACAACCCACGGCAAUCUCGUCCCUUUGAGCUGACCCCUGAAAUGAAUUUAUGGAACACCCCUUUGAAGAUGGAUUUGCAGAAGGCAAAGUUGCUCUUCCUUCAAGGAAACUUAAUCUCUGCAAAUGAAGUACGUGAAGAGAACAGAACAAAACCGGGGGGCCUACAGGGAAGCCGGAGAGAGACUUCAUCAGGUAAACUGGAACUUAUGUUCCACUAUGUUGGAGGAGGACGAACAGCCACGUUCCAUAUCUGUGGUGGCAAAAUACACUUCAGAAUGUGGGGAGAAAUAAAAGGAGUGACCGCCCAGGGCUUUUGGAGAACAGAGACUGGAGCCGAGAGCCUCAUCCUGUAAAUGUCACCUGGAUGUUGUCACUGCAUGGAACCAGCUGGAAGUUGUUUCUUCCACUCACAAUUGUUAACAAUUAAUUUUUCAAACUGGAGCAGAUCCACAGUUCCCACUUCAGAAGCUACAAAGGCUUUUGCCCCCCCCCCAAAAAUCAGCCGGUGCGCCGGUUCAUUCACCGUGUGAUGGGACGGAUGCUCAGGUGUAGCUGGUGGUACCUACAGGAGCGCUGGCCCCCGUCAGGAAUCACCCUGAGGAAAAGUCGUGCGUGUUUACGGGAAUCUUGGAGCACUUGGCAUCCAAAUAAACUCGAAGGAAGCGUUGGCCGUCAUCGCUGGCAGAGCAGACAGGGACUGUGCCUCGAAAUAGCGCUUGGCAGAGGAACGCUGCUGACGGCUCGGUGGAGAAGGCGGAUUUGCUUUUCCAGACCGAGACAUUUCAUAAACAGUUUCUGUUUGUUGGAGCUGUGGAACCUCACUAGA